UACAGUAGACUACAGUAGAGUACAGUAGACUGCAGUAGACUACAUUAGAGUACAGUACAGUAGACUACAGUAGACAACAGUACAGUAGACUAGAGUACAGUAGACUACAGUACAGUAAACUGGAGUAGACUACAGUAGACUGGAGUAGACUACAGUAGACUGGAGUAGACUACAGUAGACUACAGUAAACUACAGUAAGCUACAGUAGACUACAGUAAGCUACAGUAGACUGGAGUAAACUACAGUAGAGUACAGUAAUGACCUGUGAAUAAUAGGUAAAGUAAUGGUGAACUUAAUUGCUUUUAUUUGGCCCUGUAGCUGAGGUGUAUCUACCUGUAGAUGAGGUGUAUCUACCUGUAGAUGAGGUGUAUCUACCUGUAGCUGAGGUGUAUCUACCUGUAGAUGAGGUCUAUCUACCUGUAGAUGAGGUGUAUCUACCUGUAGAUGAGGUGUAUCUACCUGUAGAUGAGGUGUAUCUACCUGUAGAUGAGGUCUAUCUACCUGUAGCUGAGGUCUAUCUACCUGUAGCUGAGGUGUAUCUACCUGUAGAUGAGGUGUAUCUACCUGUAGAUGAGGUCUAUCUACCUGUAGCUGAGGUGUAUCUACCUGUAGAUGAGGUGUAUCUACCUGUAGAUGAGGUGUAUCUACCUGUAGAUGAGGUCUAUCUACCUGUAGAUGAGGUGUAUCUACCUGUAGAUGAGGUGUAUCUACCUGUAGAUGAGGUGUAUCUACCUGUAGAUGAGGUCUAUCUACCUGUAGCUGAGGUGUAUCUACCUGUAGCUGAGGUCUAUCUACCUGUAGAUGAGGUGUAUCUGCCUGUAGAUGAGGUCUAUCUACCUGUAGAUGAGGUCUAUUUACCUGUAGCUGAGGUAUAUUUACCUGUAGCUUAGGUCUAUCUACCUUUAGGUGAGGUGUAUCUACCUGUAGAUGAGGUGUAUCUACCUGUAGAUGAGGUCUAUCUACCUGUAGAUGAGGUGUAUCUACCUGUAGAUGAGGUGUAUCUACCUGUAGAUGAGGUGUAUCUACCUGUAGAUGAAGUCUAUCUACCUGUAGAUGAGGUGUAUCUGCCUGUAGAUGAGGUCUAUCUACCUGUAGCUGAGGUGUACCUACCUGUAGCUGAGGUCUAUCUACCUGUAGAUGAGGUGUAUCUACCUGUAGAUGAGGUGUAUCUACCUGUAGAUGAGGUGUAUCUACCUGUAGAUGAGGUCUAUUUACCUGUAGCUGAGGUAUAUUUACCUGUAGCUUAGGUCUGUCUACCUGUAGAUGAGGUGUAUCUACCUGUAGAUGAGGUGUAUCUACCUGUAGAUGAGGUCUAUCUACCUGUAGAUGAGGUGUAUCUACCUGUAGAUGAGGUGUAUCUACCUGUACAUGAGGUCUAUCUACCUGUAGAUGAGGUGUAUCUACCUGUAGAUGAGGUGUAUCUACCUGUAGAUGAGGUGUAUCUACCUGUAACUGAGGUCUAUCUACCUGUAGCUGAGGUGUAUCUACCUGUAGAUGAGGUCUAUCUACCUGUAGAUGAGGUGUAUCUACCUGUAGAUGAGGUGUAUCUGCCUGUAGAUGAGGUCUAUCUACCUGUAGAUGAGGUGUAUCUGCCUGUAGAUGAGGUCUAUCUACCUGUAGAUGAGGUGUAUCUACCUGUAGAUGAGGUGUAUCUGCCUGUAGAUGAGGUGUAUCUACCUGUAGAUGAGGUGUAUCUACCUGUAGAUGAGGUGUAUCUGCCUGUAGAUGAGGUCUAACCAGGUCAGAUCAGACUGAACCAGGCUAACUGGACCACACCAGACUGCACAGUUCUGCUGGAGGAAAGCCUCUCUGCUGAGAGUGGUGGACAUAUGAAUGUGAAUACUGGGGGCAUCAUUAAAAAACGGCACCCUAUUCCAUAUAUAGUGCACUACUUUUGACCAGAGCCAUAUUCCCUAAGGGCCCUGGUCAAAUGUAGGGCACUAUAAAGGAAUAGGGUGCCGUUUAGGACACAGGCCCUGUCUGUUUGGCUGUCUGUCUGUCUGUUUGGCUCCUGUAACGAUGGUCUGUCUGUCUGUCUGUCUGUCUGUCUGUCUGUCUGUCUGUCUGUCUGUCUGUCUGUCUGUCUGUCUGUCUGUCUGUCUGUCUGUCUGUCUGUUUGGCUCCUGUAAGAUGGGCUGUCGAUAAUGGGAAUAACAGUGGAUCUACGUGUUAGCCCUGAUCUGACCUCUGACCCUGAUCUGACCUCUUUAACUAAAUUCAAACGCUUUCUGCUUUUGGCAACAGAAGAGGAGAGCUUAGUUUUGGUGUCCUCUUGGCCCUUCUGGGUUAGAUCACUCUGCUCUAUCCCUCUGUCUUGUCCUCUUUCCCUCUGUCCGUCUGUCCUUCUGCCCUGUCCCUCUGUCCCUCUGCCCUGUCCCUCUGUCCCUUUGUCCUGUCCUCUUUCCCUCUGCUCUGUCCUCUGCCCUGCCCUCUGGCCCUCUGCCCUCUGUCUCUCUGUCCCUCUGCUCUGUCCCUUUGUCCUUCUGCCCUGUCCUCUGUCCCUCUGCCCUGUCCCUCUGCCCUCUGUCCCUCUGCCCUCUGUCCCUCUGCCCUCUGUCCCUCUGCUCUGUCCCUUUGUCCUUCUGCCCUGUCCUUGAUACUGUCCCUCAGUCCUGUCCCAUAUCCCUGUCCCUCUGCACUGUCCUUGAUACUGUCCCUCUGCCCUGUCCUCUGCCCUGUCCUCUGUCCCUCAGCCCUGUCCCUCUGCCCUGUACUCUGUCCCUCUGCCCUGUACUCUGUCCCUCUGCCCUGUCCUCUGUCCCUCUGCCCUGUCCUCUGUCCCUCUGCCCUGUCCUCUCUCCCCCUGCCCUGUCCUCUCUCCCUCUGCCCUGACCCCUAUCCCUGUCCCUAUGCCCUGUCCCCUAUCCCUGUCCCUCUGCCCUGUCCCUCAUACUGUUCCUGUCCUCUCGUCCUGUCCUCUCCUGUUCUUUAGUUCCAACUCUCGAUCCCACACAGUUAGCAGAGUUAAAUGACUCCACUCUCUUUAGCUUGGUAGUUUUACAGAUCAGCCAUGCAUCCAUCUUGGAUAAAACCAAAAAAAGAGAGAUAAUAUUAUUUGUGUGUAAAGCGAUAUGUUAUUUACACCCGGCAUGAGAUAUGACACUGAGUUGUGCUUCAGUGGAAGUGCUGCGUCCUCACAGACCAGGAGAAGGCCCCAGUGUGGAUUCUUUCAUAGAACUAGACCUUCUAGACAUUCUAUAAGUUCUGUGGAUUUCAGGUCCAGGCCAGGUACUGUCUGUCUGUCUGUCUGUCUGUCUGUCUGUCUGUCUGUCUGUCUGUCUGUCUGUCUGUCUGUCUGUCUGUCUGUCUGUCUGUCUGUCUGUCUGUCUGUCUGUCUGUCUGUCUGUCUGUCUGUCUGUCUGUCUGUCUGUCUGUCUGGUGCUGCCGUGUUGUAGCCUUAACAUUCCAAGGAGGGUCAUGUGACCCCCUGAGUAGCAUUAUGGGUAAUUAUUAGCACUGUGUCACCCAACCUCAGCCGAAGUUAUCGCCAGGGGGAAAAGUAAAACAAAACAAACAUGAUUUAGUUUUCGUUUUUUUGCAACGGCAAGGCAAGAGAUGGUGUUACCUAACAUUUACUGUACCUUAAGCAAAACAACUGCAAACCCUUCCAAAAAAAAAAAAAGGUUUUGAAGUUUACAGUCUUAACAGAAACCAACUAUUCAGGUCUAUAUCUUAAAAUACUUUUUGGAAGAAGAAGAAAAAAAAACACAUGACUUAUUUUUGGUAAU
Molecule: non-coding RNA, 3728 nt
Organism: Salmo salar (Atlantic salmon)
Lineage: Eukaryota; Metazoa; Chordata; Actinopteri; Salmoniformes; Salmonidae
Source: RefSeq, a predicted model, not a curated record